This is a non-coding RNA of Camellia sinensis, 202 nucleotides long. The record is from RefSeq and is a predicted model, not a curated record. NCBI's taxonomy places the organism in Eukaryota, Viridiplantae, Streptophyta, Magnoliopsida, Ericales, Theaceae.
GCAACAAAUCCUGGUCCUAGCUCAAGUCAAGCCACACAAAAGCAGACAAGGGGUCCCACAUAUGUACAUGGUCAAUGGGGUACUUCAGAUGAUGGCAUUUUAAAACUUGUUUCAAAUGAGUUGAAUCAAGUAGUUGAAGGAUACACACCCCUUGCUUCACAUUUGGGCGUUCUGGCACGAGAUGGGAGUCUUGCACCACUCA